Molecule: long non-coding RNA, 1104 nt
Organism: Sorghum bicolor (sorghum)
Lineage: Eukaryota; Viridiplantae; Streptophyta; Magnoliopsida; Poales; Poaceae
Exons: 3
Source: RefSeq, a predicted model, not a curated record
GAGGGGGGGAAUCGUUUCACCAUGGUGAAACGAGGUCGCGUGGUUUCCCAGACCUGGGAAACUGGGUGAAACAGCCAUUGAGGCGUUUCAUGGCUUCCUCCCUGAUCCCGUGCGCGGGCGGAGGCGCGGAGCUUCGAGGUCGUCAACUUCCCGCGCGCCCAUGCAAUCUUCCCGCGCUCCACCACUAUAUCGUGCGCAAUCUCUCUGCCUGCCCUCCAUCGCCCUCCCUCUGACGCCGCUAUUCAUCAUCCAUGCCUGCCGCAUCAAGCUAGGGCAAAGGUGCGAGAUCCAGCUUUCAUGGAUCCGUCGAUGCCUGGGCGGCGCCCACCUGGUAGAGGAGGGAAACAACGCGGUGGAAAACAGCUCGGAUUGAAGACCACAUCGCCGCAUCUUCCAGCUCCGCCUCCAAGUUUGACCGCAUCGACGCCGCCGCCUUCGGUCCCCCUGCCGCCGCCGCCGGUUUCUUCUUCUUCAUCGCCAAAUCCGACCGCAUCGGCACCGAAUCCGACCGUAGCUGUUCCGACUACAUCUCCUACUGCUCCGGCUUCGUCCUGUACUGCGUCGGCUUCGUCUCCUGCUGCCCCGACCUUCGCCGUGCCGCCAAGGCCACCUCAAGGUGCAGGAUGGGGCGCCAUUCCCCCAAAUUUUUCAUCUUUUCAUGGAAACCAACAAGGCUCUAGCUCAUGGGUGACAAUGUGACAGUGAUAAGUCAUCUAAGUUGUUGAUUUAGGAGUAAGGGAACUAUGAGGUGCAGUUUACUGUCUUUUUGGAGGCGAGGGUUGGAUGAAGAUGAGCUCAUAUAUAUUAUAUUUUAGUGAUGAUUUGCUGCUGCUGCGAGAGGCUAUCUGAACCUGUUGCUGUGACCUGAACUGUUCUGGAAGUGAUGUUUGUUGAAGAUGAGCUCUGUGAUCUGAACUGUUAUCUAUAUGUUCUGUGAUCUGAACUGUUAUCUUGAUCACUACUAUGUGAGUGGAGUUUCAGACUUUGCACUAUGUGAAUGCAGUUCCAGAACGCCAUGUCGAUCAAUGCUAUUUAUCAUGUCGCUCUUGUGUUUGUAUUGCAGUUUUGUUGUGAUUUGUGAAAAGUAAAUGUCUCAUGCUUCAA